GCGAGGAAUAUUGCGCAAUGGGGGCAACCCUGACGCAGUAACGCCGCGUGCGGGAAGAAGGCCUUCGGGUCGUAAACCGCUUUUCGGAGGGACGAGUGAGGACGGUACCUCUGGAAUCAGUCUCGGCUAACUACGUGCCAGCAGCCGCGGUAAAACGUAGGAGGCGAGCGUUAUCCGGAUUCACUGGGCGUAAAGCGCAUGUAGGUGGUUCGGCAAGUCGCAGGUGAAAGCCCCUGGCUCAACUGGGGGAGGUCGUGCGAAACUGCGGGACUGGAGGACCAGAGAGGAAGGUGGAAUUCCCGGUGUAGCGGUGGAAUGCGUAGAGAUCGGGAGGAACACCAGUGGCGCAGGCGGCCUUCUGGCUGGUUUCUGACACUGAGAUGCGAAAGCGUGGGGAGCAAACGGGAUUAGAUACCCGAGUAGUCC
This 426-nucleotide ribosomal RNA is filed under the name uncultured bacterium. Its description in RNAcentral is "bacterial SSU rRNA". It matches the Rfam family "Bacterial small subunit ribosomal RNA", at positions 354 to 796 of the family's 1533-position model. The record is from RNAcentral.